GAUGAACGCUGGCGGCGUGCCUAAUACAUGCAAGUCGAGCGAACAGACGAGGAGCUUGCUCCUCUGACGUUAGCGGCGGACGGGUGAGUAACACGUGGAUAACCUACCUAUAAGACUGGGAUAACUUCGGGAAACCGGAGCUAAUACCGGAUAAUAUAUUGAACCGCAUGGUUCAAUAGUGAAAGACGGUUUUGCUGUCACUUAUAGAUGGUUCCGCGCCGCAUUAGCUAGUUGGUAAGGUAACGGCUUACCAAGGCAACGAUGCGUAGCCGACCUGAGAGGGUGAUCGGCCACACUGGAACUGAGACACGGUACAGACUCCUACGGGAGGCAGCAGUAGGGAAUCUUCCGCAAUGGGCGAAAGCCUGACGGAGCAACGCCGCGUGAGUGAUGAAGGUCUUCGGAUCGUAAAACUCUGUUAUUAGGGAAGAACAAAUGUGUAAGUAACUAUGCACGUCUUGACGGUAACUAAUCAGAAAGCCACGGCUAACUACGUG
This 497-nucleotide ribosomal RNA is filed under the name uncultured bacterium. Its description in RNAcentral is "partial 16S ribosomal RNA". It matches the Rfam family "Bacterial small subunit ribosomal RNA", at positions 28 to 507 of the family's 1533-position model. The record is from RNAcentral.